RNAcentral lists this ribosomal RNA (429 nucleotides) under Chloroflexota bacterium. RNAcentral describes it as "Chloroflexi bacterium partial 16S ribosomal RNA". It matches the Rfam family "Bacterial small subunit ribosomal RNA", at positions 355 to 776 of the family's 1533-position model. Lineage: Bacteria; Bacillati; Chloroflexota. The record is from RNAcentral.
UAGGGAAUCUUCGGCAAUGGACGAAAGUCUGACCGAGCAACGCCGCGUGAGUGAAGAAGGUUUUCGGUUCGUAAAACUCUGUUGUUAGAGAAGAACAAGGACGUUAGUAACUGAACGUCCCCUGACGGUAUCUAACCAGAAAGCCACGGCUAACUACGUGCCAGCAGCCGCGGUAAUACGUAGGUGGCAAGCGUUGUCCGGAUUUAUUGGGCGUAAAGCGAGCGCAGGCGGUUUGUUAAGUCAGAUGUGAAAUCCCCGGGCUCAACCUGGGAACUGCAUCUGAUACUGGCAAGCUUGAGUCUCGUAGAGGGGGGUAGAAUUCCAGGUGUAGCGGUGAAAUGCGUAGAGAUCUGGAGGAAUACCGGUGGCGAAGGCGGCCCCCUGGACGAAGACUGACGCUCAGGUGCGAAAGCGUGGGGAGCAAACAGG